Molecule: long non-coding RNA, 899 nt
Organism: Daphnia carinata
Lineage: Eukaryota; Metazoa; Arthropoda; Branchiopoda; Diplostraca; Daphniidae
Exons: 5
Source: RefSeq, a predicted model, not a curated record
GUUAUGUGUCGUAUGGUGGCCAUCUUGGUGUGACGUAAUCUCGAGUGUAAGCGUUACGCAAAUGUAGAAAAUCAAAUGUAGGACCCAUUUGCUUUCAUUUGAAGGCUAUUCCAAACCUAUACCCGUGAAUAAAAGUCUUUGCUAGUGUAUUUUGCAUGUGACUGAUUGAUAAAUGUUUAAGGAUCGAAAAAUAUGAUAGAUCAACCUUACAGUAUCGGGCAACAUGGCUGGAAAAAAAAGAAGCAACAAAAAAGGAUUGACAGUCGUUCAUUUUGGUGUGACCACUGUAUCCAAGAUUACACAAUGUGGCGGAAAUUUGUCUAUUAGCAGACAGAGAACUGAGAGAAAAAAAAUCUUUUGAAUCUACAAACGACACCAGAAAAACAGAAGUGGAUGAAACAUUCAAUGAGCUAUCAUCCAAUUAUCGGUGAACAACUGGUGCGAACAAAGCAGAUCAUUAACUCAAAUUGAUGUUUUUAUUUAGAAACAGCAAUUCAUGUCCCUGUCUGCUUAAUUGGCUGGUGGGAUUCUAUUGAGCUCUGUUAGUUCAAGUUGAGGAAAAAGCAUGUUGUGCAGGAUACAUGGCAUCCUGAUGUUGCAGCUUGACGGAAGAUGGAAAGCCUCUUGAGCAAUACAUUCCGGAAGCUGUGACGUGCUAUGCAAAGGAACUGUUUAAGGACAUCAUCUUUGGCUACACUUUAACAAUUUUGAUGAAGUUGUCCUCCAGGUUACACCAAAAGAUGUACCUCAAUACAUAACACAUUUCGCAGAAGCCAGCCUGCGCCAACUACUACUCAAAACAUAGAGAAUUCUGGCUACAUAAAACCAACACCUGUUCAGAAAGCUUCAGUUGCAGUUAUUCUUGCCAAAAGAGAUUUAAUUGUUUGUGAUGGUAUCUU